CACUGUUUGGGGGUACAGAAGGCCUGGAGGAGUAUGUGCUUAUGUCCACACCCUAUGUUCCUCUAAUCAACAGUUUGGGAAGAGGGUGUUGUCUGUCCCAAUUCUAGCCACAGCCGUUUUGUGUGUGUGUGUGUACGUGUGUGUGUGUAUCCACGUAUAAGUGUGUCUGUGCUCAUACGUGUGUCCCUGAACCAAACAACUGACUUCUCUCAGGCCCACCAGCAUGGGCCUCUUGUCAUUCGCUUGUCUAAUGUUGUCUUGUUAUGAAAGAUGUCACCCGGGGGAGGGCAAAGGGAGGGGUGUUUCCCCCUUUUCUCACAGCUUCCAGGAAAGGAUACAGGGUAGCCUGUGGGGAUGUGGCUCCUGGCUGAGCCUCACCCCAGGAGUGUCGUACAGGACCCCCCGAGUCGUUGGGAGAGGGGGGGCUGUUGCCAUGGUGGCCUGUGUGCAGCGAAUUCCUCCAGGGUGAAGUGGGAGAUAUUUAUACCCAGGGUCAGGGAGAGAGCGGGCAGGCAGCCGAAGGCAGGAGAGCCGGGACUGUCUGGGUACAGAGACCACUGGUUGAGGUGUGUUGGGGCAGGUGGGGCUGGGCGUGUCCUUCUGUCUGUCUCAGCACUUCCACCUGUGUCCAGAGGCAGCUUGCUUCCCUUACAAGGGGCAAUGGCAUCUCCCGGCCACAUCCUGGCUCUCUGCGUGUGUUUCCUCACCACGGCCAGUGCAGAAGGUCCACAGGAACCCGAUCCAUUCACCUACGAUUACCACACCCUGAGGAUCGGCGGCCUCACCAUCGCUGGGAUCCUUUUCAUCCUGGGCAUCCUUAUCAUCCUUAGCAAGAGAUGUCGGUGCAAAUUCAACCAACAGCAGAGAACUGGGGAACCCGACGAAGAGGAGGGAACUUUCCGCAGCUCCAUCCGCCGUCUGUCCACCCGCAGGCGGUAGACCUUCCACCUGUCUCCAGGAAACUCAGCCAGGACCCCCUUGACAUCUGACGCCUCUCCCCACCCAGCUGCUCGCCUGUGGCCACCUCCAGCGUCCCUUGCCUCAGCCCUGCCUCUCGGACACCCCUUACUGCUAAGACCUCCAAUAAAACUCGGUUUUCCCUCUUGAUAGCGCUUGGUUGAUUUCAGUGCCUCUUGCGCGAAAACCCGGGAGCCCCCUUGGCCCCGGCAGGGGGCGCCCCCACCCUUGGGGAAGGGGCGGGGACGUCAGCAGUGGGCGGGGGCGGGGGCGGGGGUAUGGCCUGGACGGGGGCGGGCUCUUCGGGCCCCCAUUGGCUACAGGCCCCCCCGCCCUACCAGGGCUCCCCCACUUUACCCCCCCACAUCAGUCUGUCCUGCUUCCAGCUGCUGCAGCCGCGCCUUCGCUGCCUCAGCUGCCUCAGCGUUCAGCAGCCCCCUGCUCGGGCUCAGCAUGGCCACCCCAACCCAGAGCCCCACAAACGUUCCCGAAGAAACAGACCCGUUUUUCUAUGCACCUGGAGGUGGCGGCGUGUAGGACCCUCUACAGAUCUCCACUGCUGUCCCUGGCCGGAGCGCAGGAGCCCGAGAACCGGGUGAAGGCGGUGGGGACCCAGCCUGGCGCCGGGGAGUGUGCCCCCAAUGAGCCGCCACACCCAUCCCAAGGCCGGAGCCACUGCACCACCCCGCUGUCCCUCCCCAGGCCUUGGCAACGACGAUCCCCCAAAGAGCCCAUUUGCACCCCAGACCCAGAGACUCAGGCCUCCAGCUCCUGGGAUCCAGGAGUCCGUCCCCAGUCCCCUGGGAUCCUCGUAUCCCUCCCUCCUGCAUCUCCUGGUCACCUUCUCCAGGACCCUCCCGGCUGUCCCCUCAGGGUCCAUGUCUUGAGCUUAAUAAAUGUGCAUUCAUUUUUUUCCUCCC
This is an RNA transcript of Peromyscus californicus insignis, 1877 nucleotides long. It is a transcript of the gene named FXYD domain containing ion transport regulator 7, with no coding region annotated. The transcript has 10 exons. NCBI's taxonomy places the organism in Eukaryota, Metazoa, Chordata, Mammalia, Rodentia, Cricetidae. The record is from RefSeq and is a predicted model, not a curated record.